Molecule: ribosomal RNA, 258 nt
Filed under: uncultured archaeon
Lineage: Archaea
Description: partial 16S ribosomal RNA
Rfam family: Archaeal small subunit ribosomal RNA
Source: RNAcentral
CAGCCGUAAACUAUGCGCGUUAGGUGUACUGGUGACCACGAGUCACCGGGGUGCCGAAGGGAAACCGUGAAACGUGCCGCCUGGGAAGUACGGUCGCAAGGCUGAAACUUAAAGGAAUUGGCGGGGGAUCACCACAACGGGUGGAGCCUGCGGUUUAAUUGGACUCAACGCCGGAAAUCUCACCGGAUAGGACAGACAUAUGAUAGUCGGGCUGAAGACUCUACUUGAUGAUCUGAGAGGAGGUGCAUGGCGUCAGUG